This 111-nucleotide transfer RNA is filed under the name Actinomycetota bacterium. RNAcentral's name for it is "tRNA-Arg". The stretch from base 34 to 111 matches the Rfam family "tRNA". Rfam says of the family: Transfer RNA (tRNA) molecules are approximately 80 nucleotides in length. The record is from RNAcentral. Lineage: Bacteria; Bacillati; Actinomycetota.
GCGAGUUUUUGGCGAGUUGACGACACCCACAUGGCUCUGUAGAGCCAAAAUCCGACGAUAAGCGUCGGUCUACGGAACCGAAGGUCACAGGUUCGAAUCCUGUCGGGCGCG